This 102-nucleotide ribosomal RNA is filed under the name Caerostris darwini. Lineage: Eukaryota; Metazoa; Arthropoda; Arachnida; Araneae; Araneidae. The record is from RNAcentral.
UAUAUAAGCCUUGAAAUACCGGUUCUCGUUAGAUCACCGAAGUUAAGCAUCAUUGGGCGCGGUCAGUACUUGGGUGGGUGACCACCUGGGAACACUGCGUGC